AUUUAUAUAGCUUAUAUAGAGCAUAGUAUUGAAGCUACUAAGGAAAUUUUUUUAUGAAUA
This 60-nucleotide transfer RNA is filed under the name Prolachesilla sp. GRAspLA. RNAcentral's name for it is "tRNA-Phe". The record is from RNAcentral. Lineage: Eukaryota; Metazoa; Arthropoda; Insecta; Psocodea; Lachesillidae.